AUUGAACGCUGGCGGCAGGCCUAACACAUGCAAGUCGAGCGGAUGAAGGGAGCUUGCUCCUGGAUUCAGCGGCGGACGGGUGAGUCAUGCCUAGGAAUCUGCCUGGUAGUGGGGGAUAACGUCCGGAAACGGGCGCUAAUACCGCAUACGUCCUGAGGGAGAAAGUGGGGGAUCUUCGGACCUCACGCUAUCAGAUGAGCCUAGGUCGGAUUAGCUAGUUGGUGGGGUAAAGGCCUACCAAGGCGACGAUCCGUAACUGGUCUGAGAGGAUGAUCAGUCACACUGGAACUGAGACACGGUCCAGACUCCUACGGGAGGCAGCAGUGGGGAAUAUUGGACGAUGGGCGGAAGCCUGCUCCAGCCAUGCCGCGUGUGUGAAGAAGGUCUUCGGAUUGUAAAGCACUUUAAGUUGGGAGGAAGGGCAGUAAGUUAAUACCUUGCUGUUUUGACGUUACCAACAGAAUAAGCACCGGCUAACUUCGUG
RNAcentral lists this ribosomal RNA (484 nucleotides) under uncultured bacterium. RNAcentral's name for it is "partial 16S ribosomal RNA". It matches the Rfam family "Bacterial small subunit ribosomal RNA", at positions 30 to 507 of the family's 1533-position model. The record is from RNAcentral.